GACGAACGCUGGCGGCGUGCCUAAUACAUGCAAGUAGAACGCUGAAGGAGGAGCUUGCUUCUCUGGAUGAGUUGCGAACGGGUGAGUAACGCGUAGGUAACCUGCCUGGUAGCGGGGGAUAACUAUUGGAAACGAUAGCUAAUACCGCAUAAGAGUAGAUGUUGCAUGACAUUUGCUUAAAAGGUGCAAUUGCAUCACUACCAGAUGGACCUGCGUUGUAUUUGCUAGUUGGUGAGGUAACGGCUCACCAAGGCAACGAUACAUAGCCGACCUGAGAGGGGGAUCGGCCACACUGGGAGUGAGACACGGCCCAGAGUGCUACGGGAGGCAGCAGUAGGGAAUCUUCGGCAAUGGGCGGAAGUCUGACCGAGCAACGCCGCGUGAGGGAAGAGGGUUUUCGGAUGGUAAAGCUCUGUUGUCAGAGAAGAACGAGUGUGAGAGUGGAACGUUCACACUGUGACGGUAUCUUACCAGAAAGGGACGGCUAACUACGUG
Molecule: ribosomal RNA, 495 nt
Filed under: uncultured bacterium
Lineage: Bacteria
Description: partial 16S ribosomal RNA
Rfam family: Bacterial small subunit ribosomal RNA
Source: RNAcentral